AACGAACGCUGGCGGCAUGCCUAACACAUGCAAGUCGAACGAGUUCUUCGGGUCUAGAGGCGCACGGGUGCGUAAUGCGUGGGGAUCUGGCCAUUGGUUGGGAAUAACAGUUGGAAACGACGUAUAAUACCGGAUGAUGACCAAAGUCCACAGAUUAAACGUCAGAGGAUGAGCCCGUGUAGGAUUAGUUAGUUGGGGUGGUAAAGGCGUACCAAGGCAACAAGCGUUAGCUGGUCGGAGAGGCUGAUCAGCCACACGGGGACUGAGACACGGCCCAAACUCCUACGGUAGGCAGCAGUGGGGAAAAUUGAACAAUGGGCGAAAGCUUCAUCCAGCAAUGCCGGGGGAGUGAUGAAGGCCUUAGGGUUGUAAAGCUCUUUUACCCGGGAUGAAAAUGACAGUACCGGGAGAAUAAGCGCCGGCUAACUCCGUGCCAGCCGCCGCGGUAA
This 449-nucleotide ribosomal RNA is filed under the name uncultured bacterium. RNAcentral's name for it is "partial 16S ribosomal RNA". It matches the Rfam family "Bacterial small subunit ribosomal RNA", at positions 29 to 523 of the family's 1533-position model. The record is from RNAcentral.